GCUUGCACCUGGUGGCGAGUGGCGAACGGGUGAGUAAUAUAUCGGAACGUACCCUAGAGUGGGGGAUAACGCAGCGAAAGUUGCGCUAAUACCGCAUACGAUCUACGGAUGAAAGUGGGGGAUCGCAAGACCUCAUGCUCAUGGAGCGGCCGAUAUCUGAUUAGCUAGUUGGUGGGGUAAAAGCCUACCAAGGCAUCGAUCAGUAGCUGGUCUGAGAGGACGACCAGCCACACUGGAACUGAGACACGGUCCAGACUCCUACGGGAGGCAGCAGUGGGGAAUUUUGGACAAUGGGCGCAAGCCUGAUCCAGCAAUGCCGCGUGAGUGAAGAAGGCCUUCGGGUUGUAAAGCUCUUUUGUCAGGGAAGAAACGGUGAGGGCUAAUAUCCUUUGCUAAUGACGGUACCUGAAGAAUAAGCACCGGCUAACUACGUGCCAGCAGCCGCGGUAAUACGUAGGGUGCAAGCGUUAAUCGGAAUUACUGGGCGUAAAGCGUGCGCAGGCGGUUAUGUAAGUCAGAUGUGAAAUCCCCGGGCUCAACCUGGGAAUGGCAUUUGAGACUGCAUGGCUAGAGUGUGUCAGAGGGGGGUAGAAUUCCACGUGUAGCAGUGAAAUGCGUAGAGAUGUGGAGGAAUACCGAUGGCGAAGGCAGCCCCCUGGGAUAACACUGACGCUCAUGCACGAAAGCGUGGGGAGCAAACAGGAUUAGAUACCCUGGUAGUCCACGCCCUAAACGAUGUCUACUAGUUGUCGGGACUUAAUUGUCUUGGUAACGCAGCUAACGCGUGAAGUAGACCGCCUGGGGAGUACGGUCGCAAGAUUAAAACUCAAAGGAAUUGACGGGGACCCGCACAAGCGGUGGAUGAUGUGGAUUAAUUCGAUGCAACGCGAAAAACCUUACCUACCCUUGACAUGUACGGAACCUCUGAGAGAUUAGAGGGUGCUCGAAAGAGAGCCGUAACACAGGUGCUGCAUGGCUGUCGUCAGCUCGUGUCGUGAGAUGUUGGGUUAAGUCCCGCAACGAGCGCAACCCUUGUCAUUAGUUGCUACGAAAGGGCACUCUAAUGAGACUGCCGGUGACAAGCCGGAGGAAGGUGGGGAUGACGUCAAGUCCUCAUGGCCCUUAUGGGUAGGGCUUCACACGUCAUACAAUGGUACAUACAGAGGGCCGCCAACCCGCGAGGGGGAGCUAAUCCCAGAAAGUGUAUCGUAGUCCGGAUUGUAGUCUGCAACUCGACUACAUGAAGUUGGAAUCGCUAGUAAUCGCGGAUCAGCAUGUCGCGGUGAAUACGUUCCCGGGUCUUGUACACACCGCCCGUCACACCAUGGGAGCGGGUUUCACCAGAAGUAGGUAGCCUAACCGCAAGGAGGGCGCUUACCACGG
This 1383-nucleotide ribosomal RNA is filed under the name Herminiimonas sp. CUW1. Its description in RNAcentral is "bacterial SSU rRNA". It matches the Rfam family "Bacterial small subunit ribosomal RNA". The record is from RNAcentral. Lineage: Bacteria; Pseudomonadati; Pseudomonadota; Betaproteobacteria; Burkholderiales; Oxalobacteraceae.